Molecule: non-coding RNA, 704 nt
Organism: Cucurbita pepo subsp. pepo (vegetable marrow)
Lineage: Eukaryota; Viridiplantae; Streptophyta; Magnoliopsida; Cucurbitales; Cucurbitaceae
Source: RefSeq, a predicted model, not a curated record
ACUGAUCUUUCCUCCUUUGCAGAACAUGAAAGUGAUGAUGUUGGACAGCGCCAAAAUAAGCCACGCAGAUAUUCAGAGAUGAACUUUGGUCAAUGAAGUAAGCAAGCAUAUGUGAUGGAGCCUAUUUCAAUAAGCAAAGGCCUUCUUCUAUGCCCUUUGUGAUCUCUAGUUCUAUUCUGGAGCACUUUGGGCUGCUAUAGGUUCCAAUAAGUAUUAGGAAUAUACGACAAACGCCUCUCCCGACGUUAAUCUGAGAACAGUAUUUUCAGCUUGACGUGUGGGCUUUUCCUUGUUUAAAUUGUGGUUUUUCUUGUGGUUUGGUUUUUGAAUGAAGCAAGUGAGAAAGGGCUUCCCCAAAUAUGAGAAAAAUGAGAGAAAUGUUGAAGGAAUUCUUUUAGCAGCAGCUAGCUAGCUAGCUAGCUAUGUUGUGCUAAUUGGAGUUUGAUUAUUAUUCUCUAUUCUAUAGUAUGAUGUUUGGUUAAGAAGUUUAUUAUUUGUUUGUUACCUUACACCACUGAGGUCGAGUAUUUUAGUAUGUAUGAUAUAUUUCUCUAAUGUGGGAUACAACACAUCGGAUGCUGCUGAGUAAUAAGACCCUUAGUAUUCGGUUUUGCGUGAGUAUAAUGUGUUAUGCUUUACCAGUAUGAGUUCAAUGUCAAUGUCUGGACAUAUAUUUAUAAAGUAUUGAGAUAUUCUUGAAAAUA